CUACUAAAAGCCAGUUUAAACGUAGAGACGCCAACCGACGCCAUAGUGCGAAAGAUUCGUUUAAAGUUUAAAUAGUUGAAAAUCACCUUCAGUGCCUAGAGAAAUAAGCUAAUCUUGAAUUGUUUAUUAACAGUAGUUAGCUUCGAGGCAUCACAUGUGCAACUAUUAGUACUCUUGAAUGAGUUAGAACCCGAAGCAAGAAAUCCCCUACAACGUAGGGUGCUUGCGUAGGAUUGGGCCACCCGUCAAAUUACCACCCACGAGCUCUGCCGACUUGAUGCGUAUGCACUUGCGCCGAGGACACUCGUGAGCACGUUUUCGUCCCGUACGAUUCAUCUCGUUUCUCAACCACACGAAAUCCGCCUACUGAAGCGCAACAUCAUCGAAUCACGCCUAACCGAUCCGACAAGAGCGACGGUUGGAAAGAUCGCUCGAUAACAUGCGGUCGUUGCGUCGAAUUUGUUUCCGAGGCGUAUGGUGAGACGACGAAUGAACUUUUCGCGCGGUGCUGGUUUUCAACGUCGAGUUUGGUAAGGUGUGUCCAACCUGGUUCGAAGCGUAGAAAACGGAGAGAGCGAACGUGAGAGUCAGCUGAAUUCGAUCCUUGUCGGGGCCCCGAUCAACGCGUCGUUGGACCUUCAGCGCCGGCAAGUACUCAUAAGACACAUAGUUAGGUUGAGAGAAGGUCAGGGUAGCUAGGAGAGAAUUUGUGCACACUGAAAUUGG
This is a long non-coding RNA of Armigeres subalbatus, 726 nucleotides long. RefSeq lists it as uncharacterized. Lineage: Eukaryota; Metazoa; Arthropoda; Insecta; Diptera; Culicidae. The transcript is spliced from 3 exons. The record is from RefSeq and is a predicted model, not a curated record.